RNAcentral lists this ribosomal RNA (60 nucleotides) under uncultured organism. RNAcentral's name for it is "partial 16S ribosomal RNA". The record is from RNAcentral.
ACCUUUUGACAUGCCCGGACCGCCGGAGAGAUCCGGUUUUCCCUUCGGGGACUGGGACAC